RNAcentral lists this ribosomal RNA (458 nucleotides) under uncultured bacterium. RNAcentral's name for it is "partial 16S ribosomal RNA". It matches the Rfam family "Bacterial small subunit ribosomal RNA", at positions 338 to 795 of the family's 1533-position model. The record is from RNAcentral.
CCUACGGGAGGCAGCAGUGAGGAAUAUUGGUCAAUGGGCGAGAGCCUGAACCAGCCAAGUCGCGUGAAGGAGUACUGCCCUAUGGGUUGUAAACCUCUUUUGUCGGGGAGCAAAAGCCGGACGUGUCCGGCUGUGAGAGUACCCGAAGAAAAAGCAUCGGCUAACUCCGUGCCAGCAGCCGCGGUAAUACGGAGGAUGCGAGCGUUAUCCGGAUUUAUUGGGUUUAAGGGGUGCGCAGGCGGAUUUUUAAGUCAGCGGUAAAAUCGUGGGGUUAAAACCCAUCCAGCAGUUGAAACUGGGGAUCUUGAGUGUGAGAGAGGUAUGCGGAAUGCGUGGUGUAGCGGUGAAAUGCAUAGAUAUCACGCAGAACCCCGAUUGCGAAGGCAGCACACCGGUGCACAACUGACGCCCAGGCACGAAAGCGUGGGUAUCGAACAGGAUUAGAUACCCCGGUAGUC